UACAGAGGGUGCGAGCGUUAUUCGGAAUUACUGGGCGUAAAGCGUGCGUAGGCGGUUAUUUAAGUCGGGUGUGAAAGCCCCGGGCUCAACCUGGGAAUUGCAUUCGAGACUGAAUAGCUAGGGUACGGUAGAGGGAAGCGGAAUUUCCGGUGUAGCGGUGAAAUGCGUAGAUAUCGGAAGGAACAUCAGUGGCGAAAGCGGCUUCCCGGACCAGAACCGACGUUCAGGCACGAAAGCGUGGGGAGCAAACAGG
This 253-nucleotide ribosomal RNA is filed under the name uncultured bacterium. RNAcentral's name for it is "partial 16S ribosomal RNA". It matches the Rfam family "Bacterial small subunit ribosomal RNA", at positions 524 to 776 of the family's 1533-position model. The record is from RNAcentral.